GGAGGAGUGGCUGAGUGGUUAAAGGCACCUGACUUGAAAUCAGACGUGGGCGCAAGUCCACCGGGGGUUCGAAUCCCUCCUCCUCCGCCA
Molecule: transfer RNA, 90 nt
Filed under: Lacunisphaera sp.
Lineage: Bacteria; Pseudomonadati; Verrucomicrobiota; Opitutia; Opitutales; Opitutaceae
Also listed under: 4 other names
Description: tRNA-Ser
Rfam family: tRNA
About the family: Transfer RNA (tRNA) molecules are approximately 80 nucleotides in length. Their secondary structure includes four short double-helical elements and three loops (D, anti-codon, and T loops).
Source: RNAcentral